This 494-nucleotide ribosomal RNA is filed under the name uncultured bacterium. RNAcentral's name for it is "partial 16S ribosomal RNA". It matches the Rfam family "Bacterial small subunit ribosomal RNA", at positions 28 to 507 of the family's 1533-position model. The record is from RNAcentral.
GACGAACGCUGGCGGCGCGCUUAACACAUGCAAGUCGAACGGAAAGGCCUGCUUUCCCUUGUGGAUUGCGGGUACUCGAGUGGCGAACGGGUGAGUAACACGUGAGUGAUCUGCCCCCAACUUGGGUAUAAGCCUGGGAAACUGGGUCUAAUUCCCGAUAGGACUGCAGGGUGGUGCCUGUGGUGGAAAACGAUUUUCUAGUGGUUGGGGAUGAGCUCGCGGCCUAUCAGCUUGUUGGUGGGGUAAUGGCCUACCAAGGCGGCGACGGGUAGCCGGCCUGGGAGGGUGGACGGCCACAUUGGGACUGAGAUACGGCCCAGACUCCUACGGGAGGCAGCAGUGGGGAAUAUUGCACAAUGGGCGGAAGCCUGAUGCAGCGACGCCGAGUGGGGGAUGACGGCCUUCGGGUUGUAAACUCCUUUCGACCGCGAGGAAGCCACCUGGUUGGAAGGGUGGUGACGGUAGUGGUAGAAGAAGCACCGGCUAACUACGUG